Molecule: ribosomal RNA, 433 nt
Filed under: uncultured bacterium
Lineage: Bacteria
Description: partial 16S ribosomal RNA
Rfam family: Bacterial small subunit ribosomal RNA
Source: RNAcentral
AACGAACGCUGGCGGCAGGCUUAAUACAUGCAAGUCGAGCGGGCACUUCGGUGUCAGCGGCGCACGGGUGCGUAACGCGUGGGAACAUGCCUUUAGGUACGGAACAACCAAGGGAAACUUUGGCUAAUACCGUAUAAUAUCUCUGGAUCAAAGAUUUAUCGCCUAAAGAUUGGCCCGCGUUAGAUUAGGUAGUUGGUGGGGUAAUGGCCUACCAAGCCGACGAUCUAUAGGGGGUCUGAGAGGAUGAUCCCCCACACUGGAACUGAGACACGGUCCAGACUCCUACGGGAGGCAGCAGUAAGGAAUAUUGGACAAUGGACGAAAGCCUGAUCCAGCCAUGCCGCGUGAGUGAUGAAGGCCUUAGGGUUGUAAAGCUCUUUUAGAUGGGAAGAUAAUGACUGUACCAUCAGAAUAAGCCCCGGCUAAAUUCGUG